GUUGCAGCCACUUGGCCCCACCCCAUUGUUGUGACAGCCCUGAUUGUACUUAUACACUGCAUCUGAACAGGGAACAGUCUGCCACAUUAAUGUAUUUUUAAGUGACUUGUUUGUAAUACAUGAAUUUGUUUUUUACAGAUGUCAAAGUCUCAACCUCAUGCUGCCCUCCCCCAUCCUCCUAAACCUGUGGAUACAAAUGCAGAUUUCCUUAAUGUUCAAUGGUGCGUGUUCUUCUAAUGGCCGCCUUCCCACUGGAGGUUUUGAUCCACAGCAAUUUAAAAGGAGGACAGAGCAAAACGGACAUCGGCGCAGAGUGAAGAACUGCCCUUGAUAAGGACACUAUGACAGCCAUAUAUAUGGCGGUAAGGAAGGGGUUUCCCAGCGUGUCCAGAAGGGCUUUGAGGAUUGCCGUGAAAGCUGGGGGAACUGAGACUGCUGGAAAAGGAAAAGAAAUUACAUUUUAAGUAUGCUGACUUAUGUUCAUACAAUCACACACACAUAUACAC
Molecule: long non-coding RNA, 506 nt
Organism: Haplochromis burtoni (Burton's mouthbrooder)
Lineage: Eukaryota; Metazoa; Chordata; Actinopteri; Cichliformes; Cichlidae
Exons: 5
Source: RefSeq, a predicted model, not a curated record